Long non-coding RNA from Molossus molossus (Pallas's mastiff bat), 188 nucleotides. RefSeq lists it as uncharacterized. Lineage: Eukaryota; Metazoa; Chordata; Mammalia; Chiroptera; Molossidae. The record is from RefSeq and is a predicted model, not a curated record. The transcript is spliced from 3 exons.
UUCAGACCAUCCAAGGGCUAGCACCAUUUUCCUAAAGAAAUCUCAAAAGAAUGGUGUCUCCAGGUCUGUGUGGAAAGCACAGCUCGUGCUCAACCAUCUUUUUAGAUGAGAGCACAAUAUCUGAGCCUAAUGUUAGGAUCACCGUGCAUUGCCUGGUAUUUGCGAUAUAUUACCACAUUAAGAACAGG